UACCAGCUCUCCGAGUGGUGUGGAUGUUUAUUGGGCCUAAAGCAUCCGUAGCUGGCUGGGCAAGUCCCCUGUUAAAUCCACCGAUUUAAUCGUUGGAGUGCGGGGGAUACUGCUCGGCUAGGGGGCGGGAGAGGCAGACAGUAUUUUCGGGGUAGGGGUGAAAUCCUAUAAUCCCGAGAAGACCACCAGUGGCGAAGGCUGUCUGCUAGAACGUGCCCGACGGUGAGGGAUGAAAGCUGGGGGAGCGAACCGGAUUAGAUACCCGGGUAGUCCCAGCUGUAAACGAUGCAGGCUAGGUGUUUGGGCGGCCACGUGCCGUUCUAGUGCCGCAGGGAAGCCGUUAAGCCUGCCGCCUGGGGAGUACGGCCGCAAGGCUAGAAACUUAAGGAAUUGGGCGGGGGAGCACCACGAAGGGGUGAAGCUUGCGGUUU
This 431-nucleotide ribosomal RNA is filed under the name uncultured archaeon. RNAcentral describes it as "bacterial SSU rRNA". It matches the Rfam family "Archaeal small subunit ribosomal RNA", at positions 474 to 903 of the family's 1478-position model. The record is from RNAcentral.